GGAAUUGCUCUGGUGCUCCUCCUGUGCUGCCGAGGGCACCCACAGACACUGCUCUGGCCUGAGGGACAGCAUAACCAGCUGGGAAUGUGAUGGCUGUGCUGGUCUGGGCACAGCCUCCUGAGAUGACUCAGGGCUUGCUGGUGUCAGCGUGGCCAGACAGUCAGGACUGGAGCCUUCUGACAGCUCCAGGGAACCUGAGACCAUCAGCCCCAACACAGGCAGCCUGGCGCUAUCAGGGCUGUCUCCCAGUUCUCCAGCACUGGAGACCGUCAGCCCCAGCCCCAGCGCCCAGCUGCCAUCUCCUGGAUCUGCAGCACCACAGACCAGCAACCUCCACACCACCCGAUAGGCAACAUCGGAGCAGUCUCUACAAUCUCCCUCACAGGAGACGAGCAGCUCCAGCUCUGACAAGCAAGUAACAUCGGGGUCAUCCCACAGCAGCUUCCCAGAAACUGAGGACAGCAGCUGCUCCAGCAGUCGGGGGCCUGACCGACGGCAAAACCACUCCCGCCAGCAACGUUGGGCCCAAAUUCCACACCUUCGGUCCUGAAGUCCCCAGGACAGGAGCCAUGUGCCAGCACCAAGUCCUGGGAGGCGCAGGCCCAGGCAGAGACACUCAAGGACAUCCCGCAGGGGAAAUCGCUCCCGCCUGCAACGUCAGACCCCAAAUCCAUCCGGCCGGUGCAGAAGUCCCCAUGACAGGAACUGCACGCCAGCACCGAGUGCUGGGAGGCGAAACCAAAGGGAAACAGCAGCCAGGACUCCCCAAAGACAACACCACUCCCGCCAGCAGCGUCGGACCCGGAACUCAUCCAGAACAUUCAGAAGUCACCGUGACAGGAGCUGUGUUAGAGCACCCAGUGCUGGGAGCUCCACUCACCGGUGGGACGGUGAGACAGGGACCCACCACUGACGUGUCCCACGUCAGACAGAGAGGAGGAGGCCCCCAAAGGGAGGGAGCCAGGUGAGAGCAAAGUGCCCCUCCCGCAGCCUGGCAGAGGGGCUGUCAGGGUGGGCAGCACAGGUGCCAUGCCUGGGGCCACUGUCUCUCUCCCUCCAGCAUGCCUGCUGUGUCAGUAAUCAGAGGCUGACCCGGACAUCUUGUGCAGAAAAACUCCAGAUAAAUGGGCUCUGGGCCCACGAGUUCUGCCGGGGGAGUUACUCCAUUUUUUGACAGGCAGUCCCUGCCACUCUCUCCUGAUAAGUGUCCUGCAGGUUACUCGGCUGGUGAAGGUCACCAUGGACAGCUCACCUUAUUUCAAGUUGGUCGGCCCCAAUGGUGUGUGCCAUCAGAUCCCACCGGGCUCAUUUUGUACUAUAAACAUCCUUUUCACCCCUGAGGAGAGCAAGGUGAGUUGGAGGAACGUUCUCUCUAAAGCCAGGGCGUUUGUUGCACGCUGGUUAUAGCCCAGCCCGUGCUGUGAGGUCGGCUCUGGGCUGGGGGCAGGCAGCCUGGAGCUGGUCACACCUUGGCACGGCGUGGUGCUGCCAGGCCCUGCAGCUGGGCCUAGAGGGCUGUGCUUUCCCUCCAUGCCUGUUCUUGAACGUUCACGGGGGAAGAGGCAGAUGGAACAGCAGGGAAGUGACAGGGAGGGGUGUUGAUGUUUAGCCAUCUCUAGGUUCAGUGGAAGGGAUUUAAAUAUGGAAAAUACUAGAGGAACAAAAAGAUGAUCCAGAGAGCUUUAUUCUUUCCCAUUGGAAUGGAGCAAAAAUGAUGCUUUUUCACAUGCUCUGUUCUCCAGCCUUUAUUAGUAUGAAUUAGUGGUCGUAAAACUAACAUAUGGCCUCCUGGAUCUGCAGCACCACAGACCAGCAACCUCCACACCACCCAGAGACCAUCAGCCCUGGGAACUGCUCCUGUGCAGAGAACACCCCGAAGGCGAAACCAGUCCCGCCAGCCAACGGGACUGGUUAAUGCAGCCAGUGCCAGGAGCCACUGGGAGGGACUGGGAGGGACUGGGUGUCCUUUCACUAUAAAUUUUAGACAAGGUAAAAGGGAGAAUGAUUCGAGCUAAUUAAAAAGAAAACAACCUAAAGUCAACACAACUCGGAGAGAGAAAAGAAAAAGAAAUCGUAAAACUUAAUUGGGCCCCUGUAAAGACAUAAACCAAGUUACCUCCCUUUUACCUUGUCUAAGGUUCAUAGUGAAGGGACUUGGUUUAGUUAUAGAUAAUGACACCUUUCUGAAAAAUUGAUAACUUUGAGCAGAUGUUUGCUUGUUAUCUACACAAUGUCUGACUUGACAAUGUGUAAUGAAUAUAUAUAUUUAUAUAGAGAAUAAAAUAGAACAAGUGUCUCCUUUGGGGGUUGUUCAAACCCCUCCCUGAUCCCCCAGUGCUGAAUUUGCUUUUCUCAGAUAAUAAAUUCUGGUUGGAAACCA
Long non-coding RNA from Pipra filicauda (Wire-tailed manakin), 2380 nucleotides. RefSeq lists it as uncharacterized. The transcript has 2 exons. The record is from RefSeq and is a predicted model, not a curated record. Lineage: Eukaryota; Metazoa; Chordata; Aves; Passeriformes; Pipridae.